This is a non-coding RNA of Cyanistes caeruleus (blue tit), 619 nucleotides long. NCBI's taxonomy places the organism in Eukaryota, Metazoa, Chordata, Aves, Passeriformes, Paridae. The record is from RefSeq and is a predicted model, not a curated record.
GAAUGUUGAGUCCAAGCUGGGAGCCAUGGCGGCAAGCAUGGCCAGCAGAGCGGGGCCCGAGCGCUGCGGCCUGGCUUGCCUUGCACCCGUGCCACAAUGAUGACUCCAGCAGCCCCUGUCAGGCCAUUGCAGUAUCUGAUGGCCCACGCUGGGCACAAGUUCUUCCCAAUGGCCAGCGUAAACCUCCCUUGGCCCAGCUUCCAAGCCUUGUUGGCAUCUGCUCUCUCUUGUCCUUGCCCACCUGGCUGGCGCUGCCGUGUUGCUCGCUGGCCUGUCUGUGGGAGAAGAGGCUGUGCCAAUGAGUGCUGCUCAACUUGGAGGCCAUUCAAAGGAGGAUUUGAUUGUGCCUGCUGUGGGAAGAAGGAAUAUGCGUGCACAUGGCCACUUCCCAUAGGUUUUACCCCAGAUUUUCAUGAGCAGCUGUCCUAGUGAAAGUCAAGUCUGUUUUAGUGAGUAUUUGAGGGCUUCCAGAGCACAGUGCCAUCUCAGGGGAAUUCUGCUGGUUGAGUUCUACUGAGGCUUUGAGAUGAGUUGCAAAUCCUGAAAAUGUUCUCCUUGCCCAGGAAUUGCUUCGGUGUUACUUCACAUCAUCCAUUAAAAAUUUGAUGCCUGGAACAAA